GACGAACGCUGGCGGCGUGCUUAACACAUGCAAGUCGAACGGAAAGGCCCUGCUUUUGUGGGGUUCUCGAGUGGCGAACGGGUGAGUAACACGUGAGUAACCUGCCCUUGACUUUGGGAUAACUUCAGGAAACUGGGGCUAAUACCGGAUAGGAGCUCCUGCUGCAUGGUGGGGGUUGGAAAGUUUCGGCGGUUGGGGAUGGACUCGCGGCUUAUCAGCUUGUUGGUGGGGUAGUGGCUUACCAAGGCUUUGACGGGUAGCCGGCCUGAGAGGGUGACCGGCGACCUUGGGCCUGAGAUACGGACCAGAAUCCUACGGGAGGCAGCAGUGGGGAAUAUUGCACAAUGGGCGGAAGCCUGAGGCAGCAACGCCGCGUGCGGGAUGACGGCCUUCGGGUUGUAAACCGCUUUCGCCUGUGACGAAGCGUGAGUGACGGUAAUGGGUAAAGAAGCACCGGCUAACUACGUG
This 468-nucleotide ribosomal RNA is filed under the name uncultured bacterium. RNAcentral's name for it is "partial 16S ribosomal RNA". It matches the Rfam family "Bacterial small subunit ribosomal RNA", at positions 28 to 507 of the family's 1533-position model. The record is from RNAcentral.